AUGUGGCCUUGAACUAACAGAUCUGUCUACCUCUUGAUUCUGAGUCCUGGGAUUAAAGAUGUGUACCACCACUGCCUGGCCUCUCUAGCUAUCUAGUGUGGCUGGCUUUGCAUCCUGAACCCUCAGGUACUUAGGGUGCUGGGGGAUGGAACUCCAGAUUUCUGCUUGGAGAUCAAAUAUAUCCUGG
This 187-nucleotide long non-coding RNA is filed under the name Cricetulus griseus (Chinese hamster). Its description in RNAcentral is "lncRNA (ENSCGRG00000025987.1)". The record is from RNAcentral. Lineage: Eukaryota; Metazoa; Chordata; Mammalia; Rodentia; Cricetidae.